CCUGUCAACGGCGGAGGAGGAAGACCCCCGUUCGGGGCGAGCUCUCGAGCCCGCGCAGGGAUCGGAGCUCUGGGCUCGCGCGGAAAGGCGCGGCGGCAGCUGUGCCUCAGCCAGGUGUCCCCCCUCGGCGGGGCCCGCGCCGCCGCGCCCGCCCCCUCCCCCGGCGCCGCGCUCCCCGCCCCAUCGCCGGGGACCAGGGAACCCCCCGGCUCGAUUUUUUGUGCAGUUUCAGCAAAGCUCCGAGGAAGUUGGUCCUUUUGUUCCACUAUUUAUAGAUUGCGUCAACAUUGCGAAAAGGAGAAGGCGGAGCGGUGGCCCCUCCCCCUACCCUCCCCCCGCCGGCUCCUGGGAGAGAAAAGCCCCAGCACACGACCUAAGUACACAGCGCGCCAGCCGCCCGCCCGCGGCCUUCUGCUCCCCGCUUUUUCCCCCUCCCAGCCGGGGCCCGAACGCUGCCAACCCCGUCACGUGCCCGCCCGGGAAAACCAGCUCCCCGGGGCUCCGCGCCGCCCGCCAGGCUUCGUGGCGGCGGCGGCGGCGGCGGCGGCAGCGGCCUCACCCAGCUCGUGGGCUCAGGCCACGGCUCAGGCGUCACGCACAGCGUGGGCACCCACGCCCUCGCCACCCGGCGAGGAUCUUGGGCCCCGGACUUGUGGGAGUGCUGCGGAGCGUCCCGAACUUCCGCCCCCUCUCCCCUCCGGCUUCCCAAUCGCCGCCCCGCUCGCUGAGUGUGCGCGCAUUCGGGCCUCGCCUCGGAGCCGGGAGCCUGACCUGUCCCCAGGCCCCUCGCGCGCCGCUGUUCCAGACCUUGCGGUGCUAGCCCCUGCUCACGCGCAGGACUGGGGAGGGCAGAGGUGUGAGGGAUGUGGGGGUGGCUCGCAGCCGCUCGCGGGCAGGCGGGCGGAGCGCGGGAAGCGCGGUGCGGGCGUUCCACGGCGCACCCAGACGCUCUCCCUCCUCCGCAGGUGCAGCGAGGCUUUGCGCGAGCUCGAGUCCCCCUUCCCGGACAGCUAG
Molecule: long non-coding RNA, 1014 nt
Filed under: Papio anubis (olive baboon)
Lineage: Eukaryota; Metazoa; Chordata; Mammalia; Primates; Cercopithecidae
Description: lncRNA (ENSPANG00000046664.1)
Source: RNAcentral